RNAcentral lists this transfer RNA (73 nucleotides) under Puccinia triticina. RNAcentral describes it as "tRNA-Asp". It matches the Rfam family "tRNA". Rfam says of the family: Transfer RNA (tRNA) molecules are approximately 80 nucleotides in length. Their secondary structure includes four short double-helical elements and three loops (D, anti-codon, and T loops). Lineage: Eukaryota; Fungi; Basidiomycota; Pucciniomycetes; Pucciniales; Pucciniaceae. The record is from RNAcentral. RNAcentral also lists the same sequence under 1 other name.
GUGUGUUUAGCUCAGUGGUAUUAGAGCAGCUCUCAUCAAUAGAAGGUUGUGGAUUCAAAUCCCACAACAUAAA